Molecule: long non-coding RNA, 231 nt
Filed under: Capsicum annuum
Lineage: Eukaryota; Viridiplantae; Streptophyta; Magnoliopsida; Solanales; Solanaceae
Description: long non-coding RNA (CANN_LNC008754)
Source: RNAcentral
ACUAGCAUAGUUUCUUUUUUAUUCAUUUCAUUUUCUGGUUCAAAACACAAAAAUCAAGUCUAGUGAAGCCAUGUGAGGCCUAUUUCGAUUCACUAGCAACUUGCUGUUCAUCUUGUUGUUCUUGUGUUGGUUAGAACUGGGGGUUUAGAGGUGUAGUGACAAAAAAAGUGGUAAGGGCAAUUUAUUGAAUAUAUGUAGCUGAAUCAUUUUUUUUACAUAUGAUGGAGUCAG